This is a long non-coding RNA of Papaver somniferum (opium poppy), 1176 nucleotides long. RefSeq lists it as uncharacterized. The record is from RefSeq and is a predicted model, not a curated record. Lineage: Eukaryota; Viridiplantae; Streptophyta; Magnoliopsida; Ranunculales; Papaveraceae. The transcript is spliced from 5 exons.
UUCAUCUCCUUCUUCAUUACAUGCGGCCGUCUUUUUCCCAUUUCUCUUCUCUAACCUUCUGUAACAGUGUUCGAUUGAGUGAGGAAGAAACAAUUUCGAGUGAGAUUGAUCAUCAACGGUAACUGGUUGUUCAGAACCCUAGUUUUCUUUCAAGACACAGUCAACAUAUUUACAAACAUAAUGAGAAACCAAUUGGCGCAAAUUGCGAUGUAAUCCUUUUUGAUGUCUAAGGCCGCCUGGAAACUUCAGUUCUCUUAAAUCCUGUGGUGUGUUUGAGUAAGUUGGGGACAAGGAGUUUUUGUUCGAUAUUCCAAGAUUUUGGGGGGCUGGAAAAUUAGUUGGAGAGAACAUAGCUUGUCGUUGUUCUGCUAUGCAGUUGGUUGACUAUAUGGAGAGAUCAAGCUCUAUUACUCAUAACCUGCAUAGCUUCGGUACCAAUUUACGUCCACAACAGUACUACCAGUAUUGUUAAGUGUUUGGUGUUUGCAUAUGUUCUCCACCAUUUUGGCAGGUUAGUGGUUUAAUGCUUGCAAGCCAUAUUGUUUCAAAAGAAUCCCAAGCACAGGACAUUUGUUCAACCAAUGUUUGAUCCAAUAUGAGAAGUUGAGAAAGAAGCAAGCCUUUCUUGGAUUAUGCAAUUCCUAUGUUUGCGGAACUGUUCGUGCUAUGGCGGGAGAAGGCAGUGCUGCAAGAAGAAGGCAGAAUCAUGUUCAUCUGCUACUGGUGCAACAUCACCUGCAAAGUCUUCACCGACAACAUCACCGACAACAUCACCAACUACAAGUUCAUCUAUGAGCGGUAGAGGAUCAUGAGGUUCAAGAUGUAGAGGUUGGAGGAAGAUAUGGUGGUGGGAUUACAAGUGUAUAAGGCAAUGUCAGAGGCCAUUGCUGGUGUAUGAAAGAAUAUGAAGAUGAUUGUCUUCAGGAUUGCAUAAAUGUUGCCAGGUGUCAGGGUUGCCAGGUCUGAUGGUUUAACUGCAGUUAAAUCUUUGAGUUAAAAGAGAGGGUAUUUUCGGGACAAGUAACACCGUUUUUCCCCAGCAGUUAUGUCGGACAAAACAUGACCAUUUUGUAAGCCAAUUACAAAAGUAUGACUCUUUUGUAACCGAAUUAUAAAAAGUAGAACCAUUUUGUAAUUGUCCCUAAUAUCAAUCACCUCACAAUGAUAUUAACCGUA